CAUGCAAGUCAACGGGGUUNCGGGAGCUUGCUUCUGCAGCUUAGUGGCGAAACGGGUGAGUAACGCGUGAGGAACCCUGCCCUUUUCGAAGAGGGGGGACAACAGUUGGAAACGACUGCUAAUACCGCAUAACGCGUAGAGGUCGCAUGGCCUUUACGCCAAAGAUUUAUCGCUGAAAGAUGGCCUCGCGUCUGAUUAGCUAGUUGGUGAGGUUAAACGGGCCCACCAAGGCGACGAUCAGUAGCCGGACUGAGAGGUUGAACGGCCACAUUGGGACUGAGAUACGGCCCAGACUCCUACGGGAGGCAGCAGUGGGGGAAUAUUGGGCAAUGGGCGCAAGCCUGACCCAGCAAUGCCGCGUGAAGGAAGAAGGCUUUCGGGUUGUAAACUUCUUUUGUCAGGGACGAGCAGAAGACGGUACCUGACGAAUAAGCCACGGCUAACUACGUG
Molecule: ribosomal RNA, 450 nt
Filed under: uncultured bacterium
Lineage: Bacteria
Description: bacterial SSU rRNA
Rfam family: Bacterial small subunit ribosomal RNA
Source: RNAcentral